CAGUAUGGCGCUGGAGAGGAACCCCUCCACAGACAACCUCAGUCCUGUCUCGUCCCAUCGCCGCGGCCUGGGGGAGACUGCUUUCUGAUGCGGGAGGAGUCGCUGCCAUUCCUGAUAUCCCUCUGCAACCGGAGGCCUGACGGUGGAGCCCACUCCCACCAACUGGAGCCCCCCCACCUCCCCCCGUGCAAAAUCCUACACAGACAGAAAUCAAACGGUGUUUUUGGAGUCUCUGGCAUGGUCAGGGCACUUGGCUAGGACUGCCGAGUGAUGUUUCCGGGAAACAAUCGAGCAUGGACUGAUAGUCCCUGCAAUUUCACAAGAUGCCAUUGAGUCUUAUUGGAGCCACGCUGAAGUUUGAAGUGGAAUUAGGAAUUCAGCCGGCAGAGGGCAGGGCUGCAUUCGUUCCCAGUGCAAGCCGUGUUUCCCCGUAAGAGGAAUCAGUUUUGCUGAAGCUGAAACUUAGACAAUUUAUGAACAACAGAAGCCAUUUCCAAACCUGCCAACCUCAUUCUUAUAGGUUUUUUUGGGUCGAAUGUCCUUCCUUCAGAAGUUCAGCCGCCUCAGAGAAGCUGCAUACAUCAAAACACAAAUGGAGUGGGGCUUCACUACAAGCAGG
RNAcentral lists this long non-coding RNA (619 nucleotides) under Gallus gallus (chicken). Its description in RNAcentral is "lncRNA (ENSGALG00010007773.1)". Lineage: Eukaryota; Metazoa; Chordata; Aves; Galliformes; Phasianidae. The record is from RNAcentral.